Molecule: long non-coding RNA, 1036 nt
Filed under: Canis lupus dingo (dingo)
Lineage: Eukaryota; Metazoa; Chordata; Mammalia; Carnivora; Canidae
Description: lncRNA (ENSCAFG00020020625.1)
Source: RNAcentral
AUUUUUUCAUGAGACACAGAGAGAGGCAGAGACACAGGCAGAGGGAGAAGCAGGCUCCACGUGGGGAGCCCGAUGCGGGACACGAUCCCAGGACCCCAGGGUCACGCCCUGGGCUGAAGGCGGCGCUCAACCACCGAGCCCCCCAGGUGCCCGGCCGUGCACCUUUAAGAUGCCUUUGAAGGGUGACCUGUAGCAGGGGCACAGCCCUGCCAGUAACACAGACAGACCAAGGGGCGAACAGAGCGCGGAGGACCAGGACAGAAAGCUGACCCUGAGAGUCUGGACACCUGGCCGCAGACCUCCACUAGCCCCUAGUGCUGUGUGACGUCAGACCAGCCACAGCCCUCUCUGAGCUCUAGGGCAUGAAGAUACCAGGUUCUGUGUUUUCUCUGUUCCCGCUGCAGGACGUGGCCCAGCACCCGGGGCAGAGGCUGAGGGCAGGGCAGGCUGGCGGCAGGCCGGGCCCAGGCUCCAGAGGGCGCGACGGACAGUCAGUCGUUGAGGGCGCUCAGCUGGGCCGCUCCAGUCCUCUCCGAGCCGCCCUCGAGGAAAUCCUAACCAGCUCUCACAAACAUGUCAAGCCCAAAGCUGCUGUGUGUGUUUGAGCGGAGCUUCAGACAGCUACUUAACACCGGGGCCUCCGGGCCUUUGAUUCCUGCGCCCCUCGCCUUGCCCUCUCCCCCCGUCUGGCUGGUGUUUAUCGGCCAAGACGAUGUUUAAAUCACACUCGUUUCCUAUAAACAUUUCACUUGAAAUGCCAUCCGCUGCCCCAGAAAUUCAUCUAUCACCAGCUCGGGGUGUACUUGAGGAGCCUCCGGGCGAUGCUCCCCGUCUCUGUCCCCUGCCCCCCACCCCGCCUCCCCGACCCAUAUUCUCAGGUUUCACGCUGUAAGAACAACUUCCCCUCGGUGUAACAGGGCACUUAGUGCCAGGAUUAUUUAUAAGGCCGAGAUGGCAACGGGCGGUGGGGAGCAGCCCGGCCCGUGGACACUUCCUCUUGCAAAGCUCAAUAAACGGCCUGGAACGCUGUGUGCCA